Long non-coding RNA from Lepus europaeus (European hare), 287 nucleotides. RefSeq lists it as uncharacterized. The transcript has 3 exons. NCBI's taxonomy places the organism in Eukaryota, Metazoa, Chordata, Mammalia, Lagomorpha, Leporidae. The record is from RefSeq and is a predicted model, not a curated record.
GCUGGCCCCGCGGUGGGGUGGCCGGCCCGCCCCUGUGCCCGCCCCGGCGCGUUGGCUCCGCCGGCGCCGCCGCACCGAAACGCGAGUCCUUCCACGCGGUAGUGGCUUUGGCCUUGCACCCAAGACUGCAAGCUCCUUGAUGACAAAAGAUUGCAUCUGUCUUGUUCAUCACUGUGUUCCCAGUAUCUGGCAUAUAGUGUGUUGCAUCGUUCCCCUGAGAAGUGAUGUUGGCUUGGUCGAACUGAAGGGGGCUGCCUAUUUGAUGUCAUCUCCCAUGGUCGCAUUGG